AGUUCCAUUUGAGAUUAAUAGGGAAAUUGGUGAAAGUCCAAUACGAUCCCGUCACUGUGAUAAAGGGUUUGCAUUCAAUCCACUGAGUAUGUUUUGCUUGGGAAGGGAGUGUAAACAAUGCUUUUUAGUCAGGAGACCUGCUUUUAUAAU
RNAcentral lists this non-coding RNA (150 nucleotides) under uncultured Terrisporobacter sp. The record is from RNAcentral. Lineage: Bacteria; Bacillati; Bacillota; Clostridia; Peptostreptococcales; Peptostreptococcaceae.